UACGAAGGGGGCUAGCGUUGCUCGGAAUCACUGGGCGUAAAGGGUGCGUAGGCGGGUCUUUAAGUCAGAGGUGAAAUCCUGGAGCUCAACUCCAGAACUGCCUUUGAUACUGAGGAUCCUGAGUUCGGGAGAGGUGAGUGGAACUGCGAGUGUAGAGGUGAAAUUCGUAGAUAUUCGCAAGAACACCAGUGGCGAAGGCGGCUCACUGGCCCGAUACUGACGCUGAGGCACGAAAGCGUGGGGAGCAAACAGG
RNAcentral lists this ribosomal RNA (253 nucleotides) under uncultured bacterium. RNAcentral's name for it is "partial 16S ribosomal RNA". It matches the Rfam family "Bacterial small subunit ribosomal RNA", at positions 524 to 776 of the family's 1533-position model. The record is from RNAcentral.